RNAcentral lists this long non-coding RNA (5004 nucleotides) under Gossypium barbadense (sea-island cotton). RNAcentral describes it as "long non-coding RNA (GBAR_LNC014080)". Lineage: Eukaryota; Viridiplantae; Streptophyta; Magnoliopsida; Malvales; Malvaceae. The record is from RNAcentral.
AAACCACUUAGAAGAGGUAUCUUUGUCUCUACUGAUUAUGUUAGUAAAGUAUGGAUCCCUUUUAAAUAUGAAAAUUUGCCAAUGUUCUGUUUCUGAUGCGGAAGAAUGGGCAUGGGAUAAGUAAUUGCACUAAGAUAUUACCUGCAAGGAAAAACAAAAUUAGUGAAAAUCCUCCUUAUUCGUUGGCCUUAAAAGCAGAAUCAAAAUUAAUCGGAAAAGAAAGAAUGAAAUUUAAUAGUUUGUUGAAGCAGGUGGGGGCUCAAAGUUCUUAUACUGGAGGGGAAAGUGUGUCGUCGAAUAAUAUAGAAAGUGCUGAGAGAGGGAAUAAUGAGGUGGGGGUUUCACAGGAGAUUUGGAAUUGAUGGGCGGAGGGAGAUACUAAAAGAGCAGGAUAGUUUUUUCGGGUUAGGGGAAGCUGAGAAGUUGAACGAUUGUAUUAGAAAAAAAGUGUCAAAAUCCAUAUCAUGAGAAGGUAAAUUGGACAAGAACCCAACCUGGCGCAACUAUAAUAACAGCAAAAAGAGAAAAUAAUACGAGGAAGAGGAAAUCCCUAGAUGCAGAUAUUAAAAGGUGUUAUAAAGAAAAUGUAGACAGAAGGAAUUAAAAGGCUGAAAUAAGAUAUUUCAGAAGAUUAUGACAAAGGCCCUCCAGAGGUGAAGGCAGACAAUUCUGAGCAACUUGAUGUUCAAAACUUUUUAAGAUCAGCGGCUGCCAGCAGGCAAGCCAACCGGGCGCAAUGAAAAUUAUAAGCUGGAAUGUUCGUGGAAUGGGGAGUCCACGAGCUAGAAGAAGGCUGUGUUACUUUCUAAAGCAGCACAAUCCCCAAAUGGUCUUCCUAAUGGAGACUAAAAUUGAUAAUAAAAAAAGACGGAAAAAGUUAGAUGAAGUUACGGUUUUAUGAAUGGAAAUGAUAUUGAAGCAAAGGGUUCGAUAGGAGGAUUAUGCUUAGCAUGGACAGGAGACACUAAAGUUAGUUUACAAAGUUUCUCUAGGAAAUCAUAUUGAUGUUUUGGUUAAAGAGUGAUUCGUGGGAUCUGUUGAUAAAACUGGGGAAAGAUAAGAAUUACCCAUUGUUGGUAAGUGGUGAUUUUAAUGAGAUCAUGUAUUCUUUUGAGAAAUGUGGGGGUGUCCCAAGGGAUGAAAGUAUAAUGCACGCAUUUCGAGAGGUCCUAGCAGAUUGUCAAUUAGAAGAUUUGGGAUAUUUGGGAGUGUGGUUUACAUGAGAAAGAGAAAAUCUACUGGAGACAAAUAUGAGAGAAAGACUCGAUAGGGGUGUGAUAAAUGAUAAAUGGAGGUAUCUUUUUUCGACAGGUAGCGUUAUCCAUCUACCUAACACGAUGUCCAAUCACUGUCCAAUUUUAAUUAAUACAAAUGGUGAAAGCAUUCAUAAGGGCAAUUUAAAAUUUAAAUUUGAGGCGUGGUGGCUGAUGGAAGUGCGAGAAAGUAAUCAAAGAAUCUUGAGAGUUAGGAACAAGCACAGUAGUUGAGAAACUUGGAAAAUUACAAGCAGACUUAAUGGUAUGGGCAAGAAUGAUUAAGAAAGGACGAGAAGGACUAAAGAAAAAACUAACAAAGCAACUUGAUAUGUUAAUGGAAAAAGAAAGGAAUGACAACACGAUGGCAGAAAUUAUUGACACUAAGAUCCACUUGAAUAUGGAAAUUGAUAAAUAUAAAGUUUAUUGGGAACAAAGGGCAAAGGCAAAUUGGCUUAGAGUAGAGGAUAAGAACUCAACCUUUUUUCACAGGUUUGCUACAUAUCGAAGACGUAUAAAUUCAAUAUCCAAGCUGGAGAAAGAUGGAGGAGGAGAAGCUAAUAAAGUGAGUGAGAUUAAUGAAGUAGCUACCUCCUAUUUUCAGAAGCUCUUCACGUCAAAAGGAGCUGGGGAUUGUUCCUAUCUCUUAACAGGAAUAAAGGAAAAUAUUUCGACAGAUAUCAAUAGAGAGCUAAUGACAACUUUUACAGCAGAGAAGUGUAUGCGACAUUGAAGGAAAUGAGACCUACCAAAGCACCAAGACAUGAUGGUUUUCCAGCCUUUUUCUUUCAGAAAUUCUGGCAUAUCGUAGGUAAGUAAACAACAAAUCUCUGUUUGGAAAUUUUAAAUAACGGUGCAAGUUGUGGUACUUUAAAUCACUCGGACAUUGUGCUGAUCCCAAAAACCUCAAAUCAAACAAUUGUAAACCGACUGCAAGCAGUUACUGGAAGAUGUAUUGAUGCGGCUCAAAGUGCAUUCGUUCUGGGAAGGCUAAUAACUAACAACGUGCAGCUAGCUGCUUAUGAAUUGUAUAUGGUAUUGAAGCUUGAUAUGAGCAAAGCCUAUGACAGGGUUAAGUGGGGAUACUUGACGGAAGUGAUGUUAAGAAUGGGUUUCACAUCCAAUUGGGUGAAGCUGGUUAUGAAUUGUGUUUCCAUAACGUCCUAUUCAGUUAGUAUAAAUGGAAAAGUAAAAGAAUCUUUUCACCAUCUAGAGGCCUGUGUUAGGGAGACCUUCUAAGCCCUUUUCUAUUUUUGAUGUGUAGUGAGGGAUUAUCAUCUUUGAUGAGAAAUGGCUUCAGAAGUGGGUUUGAUAAAAGGUGCAAAAGCCAGCAGAAGAGGACUAGAAAUUUCACUUACUCUUUGCAGAUGACUGUAUUUUGUUCGGGGAAGUAUCAGAUAAGGGUGCUAGGGUACUAAUAGAAAAUUUGAAGGAAUAUGAAAAUUGUUCUGGGCAAUGUGUUAAGUUCAAUAAAUCUACCAUAUUUUUUAGCACAAAUACAUCCGAAGAAAACAUGGAAAAAGUUUCGACAAUAUUGGGGGUAAAGAUCUCAACAAACUUAGAACAAUACUUAGGGCUUCCGAAUGUAGUUGGUCAACGUAAGAAAGAAUCCUUUCAGCAUUUAAAAGAGAAGAUUUCGACUAGAAUUGAUGGGUGGAGUACUAGAAUGUUAUCUCAAGGAGGUAAAUAAGUCUUUAUUAAAUCGAUGCUACAGGCCAUUCCAACCUAUGCUAUGUCAUGCUUCUUAUUACCAAAGACUCUUUGUGGAGAAUUUGAAAUCAUAUUUGCUAACUUCUGGUGGUAGAAAGCGCAUGGGAGAAGAGGUAUCCAUUGGUGUCAGUGGAAGUACUUAUGCCGACCUAAAGAAGAGGGUGGGUUGGGUUUUAGAAAUAUGGCUCAAUUCAAUAUCUCACUACUAGCUAGACAGGGGUGGCAAAUUUUGAAUAAUCCAAAAAUCUUUAGUAGCACAAGUCUUAAAAGCAGAAUAUUUUCCAAAAGUUGAUUUUUUAAAUUCAUAAUUGGGGAAUAACGUUUCAUAUACAUGGAAAAGUAUUUGGGCUACUAAGGGUAUUUUAGCGGAGGGAUUAUGUUGGAAUGUGAGUAGGGGUACGAAUAUUUCGAUAAGUCGUGAUUAUUGGAUUCCAGUUUUACCGCGUGGCAGGUUACCAGUUUUAACUACGAAUUUGACUGAUAUUAAAGUUGCGGAGUUAAUAGAUUCAAAUAGUAGAACAUGGAAAAAGGAGUUGAUAAUGUAUACCUUUUCGGAGGAUGUUACCGAGAUGAUUCUCGGUAUCCUGCUGGCAGAAAGACCACACGAAGAUUUCCAAGUCUGGAGUGCUGAAGCGUCGGGUGAGUACACAAUACGUAGCGCCUAUAAACUAUUACAAAGUACUGAAGAUGAUCCUAGAGCUUAUGCUUUACAAGCCGACUAUAAGGACUUUUACAGAAAACUAUGGCUACUAGAUCUUCCUUCAAAGAUAAAAAUUACAGCUUGGAAGAUAUCAUGGAAUUUCCUAGCUACACGUGUUAAUAUGCUACUUAGAAGGCUAACGAAUACAUCAGUAUGUCCCCGGUGUGGCUCAGGAACAGAAACUAUGGACCAUUUCUUCCGUGAAUGUCCUGUUUCAACAUCAGUGUGGAGAGAGUUAUCAUUUCAUAAGUGUUUACAAGAUAAUCAGAUGGGGUUUCUACAGUGGCUAACCUGGGUUUUUUCACAAAGCUCGGCAUCCCAGUGUCGGAUCUUUUGUUGUGCAUUAUAGGCUAUCUGGGGAGACAGGAAUAAUAGAGUGCAUAAAAAAGAGAGUAAAUCUUGAAAAGAAAUAGGGAGAUUUGUUCAUAGCAACACAUCAGAGUUAAAUGAGGUUGGUAAAAAUAGAUCACAAACUUCUAUACUUGUUAAAAAAUGGAAAAGGCCAUCUGACCGAGUUGUUAAGAUCAAUUUUGACGCAGCAUAUGAAGGUAGACAAAAUAAAGCGGUGGUGGGAAUAGUGGCCAAAGACAUAGAGGGUACAGUUCUCCUAUCUUGCUUGGAGGUCCACCAACGGGUUUCAUCAGCCUUUGCUACGGAGGCAGUCGAGUGUCGAAAUGUACUCCAAAUCGACGUUUACAUGCAGUGGGAAAAAGUUAUUAUUGAAGGAGACUCUUUGUCAAUAAUAAGGAAAUGCAAAACAAAAAGCCCAGACAAAUCAUUGGUCAGUGCGUAUAUUCAUGACAUUCAUCAGCUACUGUUAAAUUUUAAGGAUUGUAGGUUUGAGUAUAUCCCAAGAUUAGCAAAUAGUCUCGGCAUAUCUUAGCAACUAAAGCGUUGAAGAGUAAUAAAGGAGAUUACCUGGUCGGAAGUGUCCCUGAAGUUGCAGAAAAACAAGCGGAAAAUGAAAGAGUGAGAGAACCAGAUUGAAAUAAGAAAGGGGAUAAAAUGGAGUGAGGGGAGUCUGAGAAGGGUAGGUAAUAGAGUGACUAAAGCAGGCCCUUGGGUGAAUUGAAAACGUCUUGAAGAAGUAAAGAAAGAUGAAAAGACAAAACGUUUAUUUUCUUUUGAUGCUGAUUGGGCAGGUAGAACGGCAACAUUAAUUUGUUUCAGACUUUUGUUUCCUUUUUUGGUUUCCUAGGCGAUUAGGUUUCCAUUUAAUUUUGUUUUAGUUUUACCUUUUGUUGGGCCAAGUCUAAUAACUGGGCUCUUUCUCUUUUCUUUUUAGGACCAUAUGUGUAGUAAUGUAGUUUAUUUAAAUAAAGUCCAAUCUGAAAUUUUAUU